UUUCUGAUAUUCAAAUCCCCUUAAUUUUCAUCUGAUCUUCAAACCCUUAAUUUUGAUCUUUCAGUCAGCAUUUCUACUUUAUACAAUCUCAUUUCAAAUAGUUUCCAUUCAAAUCUCUUUCUCUCUCUUUCUGUUAAUUUUCAAGCACCGGAGCUUUGGCCCUCUCUGUUCCUGCUGUCUGAUUUCUCUUCGUCUAAUAAUAUUUUGCUUGUGCUUUAUUUUCUUUUCAGUUGCGCUGUUAUUUAUAUUGUUUCCUAUUCUUUUCGUUUCUGUUCUUGUUUUCUUCUCGUAACCAUGGAUGCAGGAUCUUUGAGUUCUUCUGGAGCCCUCAAAGAUCGGAUGACGCUAUCCUCUUCGAGAACAGUUUAUUCAAAGAAAGAGUUCCCAAAAAAAUGUAAAGAAAUUAUGGCAAGAUUUUUUUCCCUGAUUAUAAUUUGUGUAUAUUUUGCAUGAUUGUCGGGGCAACAUUUUAGAUUAGUGUUUAAAAUCUAAGUAAUUAGAAGUUCUAAUUUUGUAGAAAUGUUCAGAAAACUUGAAAUUAGUUUAAUAUUUUCAAAGAUUUUGAAUGGCUUUGAAAACUAAAGAUGAUAAAUCUUCAUGUCUUACUUUGAAUUUGUUUAUGGAAAGCCACCUGCACCAGCUGACUUAAUUCCGGGAAAAUGCACCAUCUCUUCCUCUAUUAUUUCCCAACACUACAAUUUGAACCCUUUGGGGGCAUGCCGUUUUUAACACAUGCACCUCCUCCUGCAAUGUUCUUUCAGGUUGCCAAACCUCUCUCGCCAAUACAAUAGUCAACCAAAUUGAUUAUUACUUCAAUUGAUUAUUAUUUCAAUGAUGCUAAUUUAGUGAGGGAUGAGUAUUUAAGGUUCAACAUGGAUGAACAAAGAUGGGUUCCAAUUUCUCUGAUUGCAAGCUUCCUCGUCUGCAACUAAGGUACACAAUAAAUUGCUCAACAAGCUUUAUGAAUGCACCUGUCCAAUUCUUUGAUCAGACCCCUGGUGGGAGAAUACUGAACAGGUUAUCUUCAGAUCUUUAUACCAUUGAUGAUUCACUUCCAUUCAUUCUGAACAUUCUCCUAGCGAAUUCGUAGGCCUGUUGGGUAUUACAAUAAUUUUGUGUUACGUACAGGUCUUCUUCUUACUCUUGCUAUUGCCAUUUUGUUAUAUCUACAGUAGAUUUCAGUUCUUCUACAGGUCAACAUCGAGAGAAUUACUACGACUGGACAGUGUUUUACGCUCUCCAAUAUACUCAUCAUUCACGGAAACACUUGAUGGAUCAUCAACUAUUAGGGCGUUUAAAUCUGAGCUUCACAACUCCAUUAAUGAAUCAUGGUGUGGUAAAACAAUUAGACUCUGAUAACCUGCUGCCACUACGGACUGAUAUGGGUCCUUCUUCCUGUCAUGAUGUGAUUUUAUCCUGCUGGCAAGAUGAACUGAGUAACAAUGGCU
This is an unclassified non-coding RNA of Vigna unguiculata (cowpea), 1448 nucleotides long. NCBI's taxonomy places the organism in Eukaryota, Viridiplantae, Streptophyta, Magnoliopsida, Fabales, Fabaceae. The record is from RefSeq and is a predicted model, not a curated record.